Molecule: ribosomal RNA, 465 nt
Filed under: uncultured bacterium
Lineage: Bacteria
Description: partial 16S ribosomal RNA
Source: RNAcentral
GACUACUGGGGUAUCUAAUCCCGUUCGCUCCCCACGCUCUCGCGCCUCAGCGUCAGUGUCCGUCCAGAAGGCCGCCUUCGCCACCGACGUUCUGCCUGAUCUCUACGCAUUUCACCGCUCCACCAGGCAUUCCGCCUUCCCCUCCGGCACUCUAGCCCGACAGUCGGCACCGCUCUUCCCCAGCUAAGCCGAGGGCUUUCACGAUCCCCUUGUCGCGCCGCCUACGCGCCCUUUACGCCCAGUAAUUCCGAACAACGCUUGCCCCCUCCGUCUUACCGCGGCUGCUGGCACGGAGUUAGCCGGGGCUUCCUCACCCAGUACCGUCCACUCAUGACCCUCUUCCUGCCAUGACCGUCGUCCCAGGCAACAGCGCUUUACACCCCGAAGGGCGUCGUCGCGCACGCGGCGUUGCUGCGUCAGGGUUGCCCCCAUUGCGCAAAAUUCCCCACUGCAGCCUCCCGUAGG